Molecule: ribosomal RNA, 440 nt
Filed under: uncultured bacterium
Lineage: Bacteria
Description: partial 16S ribosomal RNA
Rfam family: Bacterial small subunit ribosomal RNA
Source: RNAcentral
CCUACGGGAGGCAGCAGUGGGGGAUAUUGCACAAUGGGGGGAACCCUGAUGCAGCGACGCCGCGUGUGGGACGACGGUCCUCUGGAUUGUAAACCACUGUCCCCAGGGACGAAAAUGACGGUACAUGGGGAGGACGCUCCUGCUAACGACGUGCCAGCAGCCGCGGGACUACGGAGGGAGCGAGCGUAGUCCGGAAAUACUGGGUGUAAAGGGAGUGUAGGCGGGGAUGCAAGUCAGGUGUAAACACUACCGGCUCCACUGGUAGGCGCACUCAAAACUGCAGCUCUUGAGUGAAGGAGAGGCAGGCGGAAUGCCUAGUGUAGCGGUGAAAUGCGUAGAUAUUGGGAGGAACACCAGUGGCGAAGGCGGCCUGCUGGGCUUGUACUGACGCUGAGGCUCGAAAGUGUGGGGAGCGAACAGGAUUAGAUACCCCGGUAGUC